UAAAGUCAAAAACAUUUCUGCCUUUGCUCAAAUACCCCUUGAAUCUACCUUUGUCUAGACAGUGAAGUUAGCAAAGGACAGCUGAUAUGUGCAGUGGUGACAGGAACAAGACAGAGCAGUCAGAGCAGUGUUGGAUAGAGAGCAGGCAGAACAAUCAGACAGGUGGCAAGCUAAAAGGAUACUGAUAUUGACAAAAAUGAUAGCUAGAACAAGACAGAUCAGACAAGACAGAAGAGGCAAAGUCCUAGAUGACUUGUCUAGUAUUGUAGCAAACUGCAUUCAUGGGUAGAACUUGCAGGGAACUUGAACUUGAAAAGAGCAAAACAGGAAUAAAACUAGCAGUUCAACAAGCACUGAGUGUGUGUCUUGUGGAUAGGACAUGCAUGCUUUAACUGGGAAAAAAAUUAUAUCUUAGAACAGCUAUGAAUGAUAGAACUUUAUGGUGCUGUAACCUGUAGCAAACUAUUUACUUUAUCAUAAAAGUAAAGCCCUUGUCUGACAAAUAGAUUGCCAUAUUUUAGUAUCUGGCUUCUAAGCUAUAUAAGAAGAAUGGGAUGUCAAAAUGUCUUGAUAAGAAAGCUCAGAUGAUACAAAGAAAGAAGGAAAUGUAUCAUUAAAAUAUGAGCAAUGGAUUUGGAUCUAGUUUUCUAUGGUUCUUUAGAAUCCAUUUCAGUAUCUCUCCUAAAAAUGCUUAAAGUUAGCCGUUUUUACAAGUAAUAACUACCCUAUUCAUUGCCAGCCUUGAUAUCAUAAAUUAAGUUGUGGUCUCUACAUAAAUACCCCAUUGCUUGCCAAGGGAAGUGAAUGUGGCAGCUCUGCAAAAAAAGCCAAAUCUUAAAAACUGCCAAAACAGAAGCCAAAAUAGCUGCAAUAAAAACCCAUUUUUCUGAUUUUUUUACAUUGUGGGAAUAUGCUUUCUACAACUCUUCAGGAGGGAAAACAUGUUAUCUCUGCUGAUAUUCCUUGUGGCACUGUGUGGGUAUCAAAACCUCAUUGUACAACCAGCCAAGGUAUUUUUUAACCUCAUAUGAGACUGGACAAGGUUUGUCUUAAUAAGUCUACAUCAUAUUUAGAAAGCUGAGAAAUGGGAGAAGGGAUGUAACAUCACUGUGGAGGGCUGUGUGUUUUAUCUAAAAGAAGAAAACAUCCCAUAAUUCAGCUGUGAUUCACUAUCUUCUUAUUUGUUAUGCAUGAAAUACAAUUGCCCUUUUACAUGUCUGCUAACUUUGGAAAAAUACUCAUCUUCUAGAGACACAGCUGGCUUUCUGUUUACUUGAUCUUCACACUCGAAUGGCCAUGUUCUGUUUAUCCCACACUUAGAGAUCAGAAGGUUGGAUAAGACCAUUGGGGUCAUCUCAGUUGCACUAUAAUUACAAGAUGAUCCUCUCAACACACCUCUCAACUGUUUUAUCUGGUCUACUUUGAACAUGACUUUGUUGAUCCAUCUGUGACUUCUUUUGAAGUGCUACUCUACUGCCUAAUGGACUUUAUGGAUAGAUUUCUUUUUAUCAGAAAGAUAAAAUUUACAUUUUCAUAUUAUGGUUCACUGCUCUUUAAUCACCUUAAAAACACCUUUUCUUUCCCCUGACAAUAUUUCCUCCCAAUAGCAAGAAACUAAGUGUAUGCUGUAUGUCAGUGUAGUGUUGAAUAACAAGAAUUAAAUCAACUGCCACAAAAUGAAAUGCACUUUCAUUUUCCCCUUCCUCUAUUUUACCUAGGUAAACACAAAAAACCUAAUAACAAGAUUUUACUAGUCCUACACAAUUCAGGAGAAUUUUGGCCUCAAAUGAUCUCAUAUGUACAAACUUAUAAAAUUUUUUAGUUAACCCAUAAUAAUUGCAGGUGUAAAUAACUUUAUUUUUACCCUGAAAAUAUUAGGAAACAAGUGGUCUGACUAGUGUAAAAUCAAGAAGCAUAUAAUUGUGUGCAUGUAGAUGUAUGUAUAUAUAGUGUGUGUCCAUACACACACAUAUGCACACAUCUUACACAUCUACAUCUAUGUGUUGGGGUUUUUUUAUUCCUUAUUCUUCCAGAAUAUCCCUUAGGCCCUUAGCUGAAAAUUAAAUGAAUUAUUUAUGGAUCACUUUAUGCUCAAUAUCUGCAAAUUACUUUUUAGAAAUCCGAAUUAGCAAAUAGGUUUCUAUUUCUGGUAAAAUUAAUGGUGCAAUCUCACAUUUCUUGUGCAUCCAGAAUUUUCAUUGAGAUCAAAUAGAUAUCACUAUAGGAAAAAAAUUAGCACUGAGACUGGCAAGAUACAGUUAACUUGUUUUGUUUAUGCGUAUUUCCCUUAAAGUGUUUGAAAUAUUGAGUCUUGUUUUUUAUUGAGUUCUAACUGAGAUUAGAACAUUUUUAACGAUGCUUGUAUUAUUUCACAGUGAGAUGGAAUUUUAAUUCACCCUUAUCCUAACAAAUGAGGGAAUAGUGGAGAACUUUUUACUGAAGCCCAGCACCCUUUACACAGUAAAGCAUCUUCAGUCUGAACUCUUCCUACUCCUUCUAUUUCUCAGAAAUGGCAGCUCUUUUUCAAACUUGUCUUUAUGUUUUGUUUUUUUUUAAAGAAAUCUGAUGUCUGUCCCUCUCCCUUCACUAUUUUGCAGGAAUAGAUUCUGUUUCUACAUGGCCACUUGAAAUAUUUACUAUGGUGGGAGGUGACUUCAGAUUUGGAAGAAGGAAAAGACAGCAGAGGGAAAGUUUAUUACCAGGCAGAUAUAGUUUUUAGAAUAUGCUAUUAAUCUUUGGAGUAAUACCAGGAACAAUGUAGCACAUAUCUUCCAGCAAGGAAACACCUGGAUGUCAUGACUUCCUACAUAGACCAAUACUGUUAUGACACUGAAAGUUCGUGGAGACAACCAUCAGCAAGAAGCACCUGAACUGCCCACAGUGAGUGGUGCACAGCUGAAAUACUGUCUGCUAA
Non-coding RNA from Lonchura striata (white-rumped munia), 2914 nucleotides. NCBI's taxonomy places the organism in Eukaryota, Metazoa, Chordata, Aves, Passeriformes, Estrildidae. The record is from RefSeq and is a predicted model, not a curated record.